GCUAGGUGUGGUGGUGCACUCCUGUAGUCCCAGCUACUAGGGAGGCUGAGGUGGGAGGAUUGCUUGAGCCCAGGAGGUUGAGGCUGCAGUGAGCCGUGAUUGUGCCACUGUGCUCUAGCCUGAGUGACAGAGCGAGACCCUGUCUCUC
This 148-nucleotide non-coding RNA is filed under the name Nomascus leucogenys (northern white-cheeked gibbon). Lineage: Eukaryota; Metazoa; Chordata; Mammalia; Primates; Hylobatidae. The record is from Rfam by way of RNAcentral.